Molecule: ribosomal RNA, 246 nt
Filed under: uncultured bacterium
Lineage: Bacteria
Description: partial 16S ribosomal RNA
Rfam family: Bacterial small subunit ribosomal RNA
Source: RNAcentral
UUAGUGGCGAACGGGUGAGUAAUACGUGAGUAACCUACCUUUAACUCUGGGAUAAGCCCGGGAAACUGGGUCUAAUACCGGAUACGACCAAUCUCCGCAUGGGGUGUUGGUGGAAAGCGUUAUGUAGUGGUUAUAGAUGGGCUCACGGCCUAUCAGCUUGUUGGUGAGGUAACGGCUCACCAAGGCGACGACGGGUAGCCGGCCUGAGAGGGUGACCGGCCACACUGGGACUGAGACACGGCCCAG